This is a non-coding RNA of Acanthosepion pharaonis, 106 nucleotides long. The record is from the annotation of a GenBank genome assembly. Lineage: Eukaryota; Metazoa; Mollusca; Cephalopoda; Sepiida; Sepiidae.
CAUCGUGUUGAAACACUGUUUUCCUGUACAAUCACUGAAGUUAAGCAACAUCAAGUCUGGUCAGUACCUAGAUGGGUGGCCGCUUGGGAAUACUAGGUGCUGUAAG